UACGUAGGUGGCAAGCGUUAUCCGGAUUUAUUGGGUGUAAAGGGCGUGUAGGCGGGAGCGCAAGUCAGAUGUGAAAACUCAGGGCUCAACCCUGAGCCUGCAUUUGAAACUGUGUUUUUUGAGUGCUGGAGAGGCAAUCGGAAUUCCGUGUGUAGCGGUGAAAUGCGUAGAUAUACGGAGGAACACCAGUGGCGAAGGCGGAUUGCUGGACAGUAACUGACGCUGAGGCGCGAAAGCGUGGGGAGCAAACAGG
This 253-nucleotide ribosomal RNA is filed under the name uncultured bacterium. RNAcentral describes it as "partial 16S ribosomal RNA". It matches the Rfam family "Bacterial small subunit ribosomal RNA", at positions 524 to 776 of the family's 1533-position model. The record is from RNAcentral.